GUGAGGUUUUUGUUUUUUUCAGUAGCAAAAUGUAAUCUUUAUAACUUUGUCAGUGUUUUUCCGACGUAAACAUAAGAAUAAGAUUAACACCACAGAUUGUCUUAAAAGUUUGCAAAAGUCGUCCGUUUCAGAGAUGAUGCGUCUUCUGUCCACAAGACUGUCGCAAACUGUAGCCUAAUAAGUUGUUCGUUUUCGCGACAAGGCAAAAAGGAGAUGAAAGUUAAACCCGAAGCAGUGCGGUCCAGUCCUCUCUCGCGCGCGUGCCUCCCGAAGCGCCGCGCUCCCGGCGACGCAUACAACACGAGCCGCUCUAUCGAGUCUCCGCUUCCAGUCGGCCGCGGGACACGUGUUUCGGGGAGGCCGCGCGACAGCCAGACGUCUCGGGAUGCCAGGAGCAGCCGACGAGCUCAGCGGCCUCACGCUGAGGCUGAAAUGGGACCCCAGUCACUACGGCCCCGCCGAGUGUGUGUAGAAAAAUCCAAUUUGAACCCCUCCCUCCCGGGACGCACGGCUAAGAUCAAAACAGUGCCAAUGACAGCGUGUCAAAAUGAGGAGGGAAGUCUGUGAAGGCCAUUUAUUCAGCACAGGGCCAGAGAGGAACUGGGCUGUGAUGGGUCCCAGCCUUCAGCCAGCCUCGGUCAUUUCAGAUUCCCUUCACUGAAUCGCUGGGAUCUACACCAAGCAGCCGUAACAGCUCCAAACUGCAGAACAACUCUGAUUCGCCGUCUGAGAUCCAGGCAAGGUGUCGGGAGGCGUCAUCGUCCCACGAUGCCCUGCAGCGUCAGAUCCUGUCUACUCACGCGCAAGACCUGCUCUGCCGCUCCACGUUGGAAGAUCGCCUGUGAACUCCGCCUUGGGGUGGGAGGGGACGGCGUUAAAUGUCACAACGACCCCCAAACGAUGCAGCAUGGUGACGAGCGCUUCAGCAUACACAUCCACGCAGGUAUGAAAAAUGACUCAGCGGCUUUGAGUGGAAGGCAGUGAAGGGAGAAGCACCUGACCUCACGUCGCCUGAGUUUCUUUGGGGAAGUGUGUAAUUUCCAGAUUAGAAAAAAGUGAGUAGCUUUG
Molecule: non-coding RNA, 1068 nt
Organism: Electrophorus electricus (electric eel)
Lineage: Eukaryota; Metazoa; Chordata; Actinopteri; Gymnotiformes; Gymnotidae
Source: RefSeq, a predicted model, not a curated record